AAUCAAGACGAUCCGGUACGCGUGAAUUUCUUUUCACAUUAAUCUGGUCAAUAACCUUGAAUAAUUGAGGGAUGACCUCAUUUAAUCUCCAGUAGCAACUUUGAUCCGUUAUGGGAGGAGUUAUGCGUCUGGAUCGUCUUACUAA
Molecule: small RNA, 145 nt
Filed under: Escherichia coli 55989
Lineage: Bacteria; Pseudomonadati; Pseudomonadota; Gammaproteobacteria; Enterobacterales; Enterobacteriaceae
Description: RyfD
Rfam family: Yersinia sRNA 155(RyfD)
Source: RNAcentral